GAAUUCAGGUGCCGGAUUAUCCGGCUUAAAAGGGAAUUCGGUGCAAUGCCGAAGCUGUCCCCGCAACUGUAAUUGUGGACGAAAUGGAAUAGCCACUGUACAGAUUAGUUAUUUUGAAAUGACUGCUGUAUGGGAAGGCCCAAAGUAGGAAGAAGCAAAAGCCAGUAGACCUGCCUGAAGACU
RNAcentral lists this non-coding RNA (183 nucleotides) under uncultured Fictibacillus sp. Lineage: Bacteria; Bacillati; Bacillota; Bacilli; Caryophanales; Fictibacillaceae. The record is from RNAcentral.